Unclassified non-coding RNA from Vicugna pacos (alpaca), 289 nucleotides. Its record names the gene 7SK. It matches the Rfam family "7SK RNA". Rfam says of the family: 7SK was discovered as an abundant small nuclear RNA in the mid-70s but a possible function has only recently been suggested. Lineage: Eukaryota; Metazoa; Chordata; Mammalia; Artiodactyla; Camelidae. The record is from Ensembl.
GGAUGUGAGGGUGAUCUGGCUGUGACAUCUAUCAUCCUUAUUGAUCUCCAGAGUCGAUUCAGCUGACCUAGCUGGCUAGGCGGGUGUCCCCUUCCUCCCUCACCACUCCAUGUGCGUCCCUCCCAAAGCUGUGCGCUUGGUCAAAAAGAACAACCAUCCCCAGUAGAGGAGGACCGUUCUUCUCAGUCAAGGGUAUAUGAGGAGCUGCACUCCCCUGCUAGAACCUCCAAACAAGCUCUCAAGAACAAUAUUUUCCAUUUCAAAAUCAUACAAUAAUAUCAAGUUAGUU